Molecule: non-coding RNA, 304 nt
Organism: Vigna umbellata (rice bean)
Lineage: Eukaryota; Viridiplantae; Streptophyta; Magnoliopsida; Fabales; Fabaceae
Source: RefSeq, a predicted model, not a curated record
CUCGUGGAUGCUAAAGUUUCUUGGAUUCUGCAAUUCGUUGUAUUUCUCUUUCUUGACAGAAAGAAUUGAAUAAGGUACUUGCUGAAAUAGGGACUAUUGUCGAGUGUUGCCUCUACCAUUAACUAUCAACGAUCAAUAUUUAUCAAAUGUUUGGAUGAAGAUCAAUGUUAAGUUUGAUGGAUUGAAUUCAAUAUUACCAAGAGAAGGUUUUCUUUCCGUCCAAUUUGUUUCUGAUGCUCCUACCCUGAUCAUUGGCAUUGAUGCGCGUAUGAGCUCCCCAAGACAAACUAUUCCAUCAAGUCUA